This is a transfer RNA of Sporothrix schenckii ATCC 58251, 94 nucleotides long. It matches the Rfam family "tRNA". From Rfam's summary of the family: Transfer RNA (tRNA) molecules are approximately 80 nucleotides in length. The record is from Rfam. Lineage: Eukaryota; Fungi; Ascomycota; Sordariomycetes; Ophiostomatales; Ophiostomataceae.
GGUUCCGUGGUGCAGUUGGUUAGCGCAUCGUACUAAUAUCCUCUCUUCUGAGAAUACCAUGCGAAAGUCGAGGGUUCGAGCCCCUCCGGGACCA